GCACCGUUAUGGGCUGCUGUAAGAAGAAAGACAGGGAGGUUCAGGGUGAAGCUAAUGAAUUAUACAUGGCAAUGUAUUAAGCAUACAGCUUUAUCCGCCGGUCAGCCUGCUUGGCUGCCCGCAGGGAAGCGUUCACCAGGGGUCCCCGUCCUGCUCCCAGCACCAUCAGUACCCUAAGAAAGAAAGGGAAGAGUCAAGCAGACUUGGCAUAUACAGAUGUAGGAGGUAAGAGAAGCAACACCCAUCCCAGGAUUCUCAUGGACUCACCCACUGCAAUCCUCUUACUAUAGUCACACAAAGUCCGGAAGUUGUGCCACCUGUUCAGUCAAAUACAGAAAAGUACAGUCAACUAGAUAUGGCCGACCAAUCACCACAGCUCAAGGAGACCUCCCUACAGGUUGCACCCUGUACUUCCCCUCACUCUAUCCCUUGCACCCUGGUACAGCAGCAAAGGGAGACAUACCACAUCCACGUUUUCUCCUCUCCACUGUACUCCUGUGUGUGUGUAGUUGGUGCAUUCUCAAUUAUAUCAUCUCUCAGGUCCUCUGGUGCCACCAAGGGUACCCGCAUCCAGAACUGCACAUGAACAGUCACCCUUUUAGAACUCUCUUCUGAACUCAUUGGGUCCAGAAAGUUUCCCUCAAUAAAAAAAAACUUCAUCCA
RNAcentral lists this non-coding RNA (663 nucleotides) under Pongo abelii (Sumatran orangutan). The record is from RNAcentral. Lineage: Eukaryota; Metazoa; Chordata; Mammalia; Primates; Hominidae.